RNAcentral lists this ribosomal RNA (397 nucleotides) under uncultured bacterium. Its description in RNAcentral is "bacterial SSU rRNA". It matches the Rfam family "Bacterial small subunit ribosomal RNA", at positions 30 to 430 of the family's 1533-position model. The record is from RNAcentral.
AUUGAACGCUGGCGGCAUGCCUUACACAUGCAAGUCGAACGGCAGCGGACCUUCGGGUGCCGGCGAGUGGCGAACGGGUGAGUAAUAUAUCGGAACGUACCUUUCAGUGGGGGAUAACGUAGCGAAAGUUACGCUAAUACCGCAUAUUCUGUGAGCAGGAAAGCAGGGGAUCGCAAGACCUUGCGCUGAUUGAGCGGCCGAUAUCAGAUUAGCUAGUUGGUGAGGUAAAGGCUCACCAAGGCGACGAUCUGUAGCGGGUCUGAGAGGAUGAUCCGCCACACUGGAACUGAGACACGGUCCAGACUCCUACGGGAGGCAGCAGUGGGGAAUUUUGGACAAUGGGCGCAAGCCUGAUCCAGCCAUGCCGCGUGAGUGAAGAAGGCCUCGGUUGUAAGUA